This is a long non-coding RNA of Acanthochromis polyacanthus (spiny chromis), 1366 nucleotides long. RefSeq lists it as uncharacterized. The transcript is spliced from 3 exons. The record is from RefSeq and is a predicted model, not a curated record. NCBI's taxonomy places the organism in Eukaryota, Metazoa, Chordata, Actinopteri, Pomacentridae.
AACUAUGGAGGAAGAUUUUGAUAACUUUUUCUCAGGAAGGUCUGCUGUAUGUACUGGCAAAAUUUCAGAUCGCUCAGACUUUUCCCCUAGGAGGAGUUCAUCAUAGAUUUUGUACAGUUAACGCAUGAUGGCGCACUUCCUGUUGGGUGUAGAGCAUGGCUGUGAUUGACUUUUUUGUGUUUCCUGAUGUGCUGCAUAUGCCUCCCAAAUUUUUAGCUCUCGGCCAAAUUCCCUCCGAGUUGGCCUAAUACCACUUUUUAAAAUUUUGUAGGGGGCGCUAUGGAGCCAUUUUGUCAUACACUACCACAAUUCCUUUAGAAUAUAAAAUUUUUCACCAGUUCUGGUGUGUGUACAAAUUUUCAUGAGUUUUUGAGCAUGUUUAGGCCCUCAAAAAUGCAGUUGUUCUGAGAGACAAAUAAUAAUAAUAAUAAUAAUAAUAAUUAAAGCUGCGAGCAGCGUUGAACGGGUCCUCGCAUCCUUGCUGGUCGGCGACCCCAAGCAUGUCCACCAGGCAAUGCUGCGACAAAGUGUAUUUAGGCUCAUGGAUGUAACGAGGACUGGAUUCUGAGCACUCAGGUCAAAUUUCAGACAGAUUGGAGCAUGUACAGACUAUUUUUGCAGCACUUUGUGUCCAUCCACCAGGUGGCACUAUGUCUGUGACUGUAUAGUGGUCUAUGAAACUCAUCAGGACUGGACUCUGAUCAAACAUGUAAAGUUUGAGGUAGAUUACAGCAUGUACAGGGGAUUUACACAAGACGUCCUGCUUCAUGGCGUAACAUUAAAGUUCAGUUGGCCGCCAUGGCCAUGCCCUUUGAGUUUUGUGAACAAUUUUCGCAAAUAUGCAACCUGAAGGCGUUUCUUAUAUAUUUUCCCAAAUUCAGGUGUUUUGGAGUUAUUGCCAGUGACAAAUGAAUUGUUGAAAAUGACCAAAAACACCAAAAAUCUGACAUUUAAUUCAAAAUGGCUGACUUUCUGUUGUGUUUAGAGAAUGACUCCAAGAGACUUUUUUGCUUGCACUGAUGUGCUACAUAUGCAUGCCAAAUUUCAUAGUCAUAGGUGAAAGUCUGUGUGGAGGCUAUUUUUUAAAUUCUUUUAGGGGGCGCUAUGACACAUACUGUGGAUGUAUUUUGGCCUGUAAAUGUGAUCAGGACAGGACUGUGUUUAAUCAUGUGAGGUCUGAGGUAGAUUGGAGCAUGCAGAGGAUAGUUAGGUAGCACUUGAUGUUUCAUGGCGAACCAUCAAAAUUCUGGAGGUCGCCAUGUCCACACCCUUUGACUCUGCAAGAAGCCUUUGAUAACUUUUGAUCAUAACAUCGUGUUGUAUAUCCUGGCAAAAUUUCAGCUCUCUAGACCUUAACCCCGAGGAG